GAUGAACGCUGGCGGCGUGCCUAAUACAUGCAAGUCGAGCGAACAAACGAGGAGCUUGCUCUUCUCGGGUUAGCGGCGGACGGGUGAGUAACACGUGGAUAACCUGCCUGUAAGCCUGGGAUAACUUCUGGAAACCGUAGCUAAUACCGCAUAACAUAUUGAACCGCAUGAUUCAUUCGUGAAAGACGCAAUUGCUCUCCCUUCUAGAUGGAUCCGCGCCGCUUUAGCUAGUUGGUAGGGUAACGGCUUACCAAGGCGACGAUGCGUAGCCGACCGGAGAGGGGGAUCGGCCACACGGGAACUGAGACACGGUCAAAACUCCUACGGGAGGCAGCAGUAGGGAAUCUUGCGAAUGGGGCGAAAGCCUGACGGAGCAAGGCCGCGUGAGGGAUGAAGGUCUUCGGAUCGUAAAACUCUGUGAUUAGGGAGGAACAAAUGUGUAAGUAACUAUGCACGUCGUGACGGUACCUAAUCAGAAAGCCACGGCUAACUACGUG
This 497-nucleotide ribosomal RNA is filed under the name uncultured bacterium. Its description in RNAcentral is "partial 16S ribosomal RNA". It matches the Rfam family "Bacterial small subunit ribosomal RNA", at positions 28 to 507 of the family's 1533-position model. The record is from RNAcentral.